CAGUAACAUGGUAAUGUGUUAACUAUUAUCAAGAUGUUUGCAGAUCAGGGUAUGGCCUGACAUGGCGUGAUGGAGAUUAAAAACCAGAAUGCUGACCUCUAUAAAAUUGAAGACAAGGAAAUAAGUGGUCUGCCUGUUAAUGAUAACAAAUGGGACAACAAACUAAUUACUAAAAGUCAAUUACAAUUGGUUGGCACAAGAAGAUCAUUUAGGGAUAAGAAACACAGACACAUUAUUUCCAUACUUUCAAAUCCACAGCUAAAUAUUUUCACAGAUAUUUGUCUACAUUACAUUAGGACCUUCUACAAAAUUAUACUCUAUGCAGACAUAUCAUUUUACUUACGCAAACCAUUCUUACUUAGCAAGAUUACAUGGGCAAGUUGUUCCACGCUUUUCAAAACUGCCAAAUUUGUCAUCUUGUCAUCAAGCGGGAUGCUGGUUUAAUCUGGAGGUGUAACACCCCCAACUUCCAGACUCCGGGCUCCUUUGUGAAAGCUUCUGAAACCCACAAAGCGAUUUAGGCCCGUCCCGGGAAUCUAACCCGCGACCUCGCGCACAGCAGUCGCGAUAUGUAAUAACUAGACUAGCAAGGAAGUUCAUCCACUCAACAAUUUUAUUGCCAUCAUCGAACGAAAUCCACACCUAAAUACAUCUAAAGUCAAUGAAAUCAGAUUUUGUUUGAUCCUCUCUCGUAAUUUCAUGCCAAGCAAUCGCUUCGGACCAAAGAAACAAUUUAUCUGACACGUGGACUAUAAAAUGCUCAGAUCACGUAUAGUUUACUACUGCUAACAAUCAUGCGUAGUUAUUGACUCAUUACACUUUGUUUCAUAAUAUGAAUACUAAUCAUACUAUAUUAUGUAUCACUAAAUGACUGUUCGUCUCGGAACGGUCGGUCUCGUUCGGAAGAGUAUCCGGUGCCUACGACUGAGAACAGCAGAUAUGCAACUGAGUGCCGGAGUGACUGCCUAUCUGACACCCACAAACAUUACUAACGUGAUACCUAGCCGUUGGCAUCAUUAUCUCAAUCGGAAAAAACACCAAAAAUCCAAGAAGUUUUCUGAUAAUGUCAUCAGUCCUGACUAUGUGGUCGACUCAACCCGUAAAACAAAUGACUGGUGUUUAGAUAAUGGAAAAUAUUUCUAUUUCGCAUAAUAAUAAUGAAAUAAGUCGUUAAGGGUUGUUUACUAAGAUAUGAUACACAAACAUAAAACCGAAAAACACAGCCCACCCACCUGGUGCAGUCGCAGAAUAAAAGACCAAUGCCUUCUUAUCUAGCUAUUAAAACAAUAUUUUCAUAAUAACAGUCAAAUAUCUUUUCCAAAUCAAAAGAUAAAGAACCGCCUAUUGUUAUGUAUGUGUGGAAUAUUGAAACUCUCAGUUAAGUAUUGCUACGUAUAAAUUUGUAGGAAUUAAAAGUCUUCAGCAUCAUUUUCUAUGCAAAUU
Long non-coding RNA from Helicoverpa zea (corn earworm), 1443 nucleotides. RefSeq lists it as uncharacterized. The record is from RefSeq and is a predicted model, not a curated record. NCBI's taxonomy places the organism in Eukaryota, Metazoa, Arthropoda, Insecta, Lepidoptera, Noctuidae. The transcript has 3 exons.